AACCGGGCGGACCGCCUCGACGGUACGGAG
Molecule: small RNA, 30 nt
Filed under: Bombyx mori (domestic silkworm)
Lineage: Eukaryota; Metazoa; Arthropoda; Insecta; Lepidoptera; Bombycidae
Description: ovarian small RNA-4230
Source: RNAcentral